RNAcentral lists this ribosomal RNA (311 nucleotides) under uncultured Oscillospiraceae bacterium. RNAcentral's name for it is "bacterial SSU rRNA". It matches the Rfam family "Bacterial small subunit ribosomal RNA", at positions 32 to 339 of the family's 1533-position model. Lineage: Bacteria; Bacillati; Bacillota; Clostridia; Eubacteriales; Oscillospiraceae. The record is from RNAcentral.
GACAACGCUGGCGGCGUGUCUAACACAUGCAAGUCGAACGGACUUACGGAGCUUGCUCCGUGAGUUAGUGGCGAACGGGUGAGUAACGCGUGAGCAACCUGCCUUUCAGAGGGGGACAACGGUUGGAAACGACCGCUAAUACCGCAUGAAGCAUUUUGACCGCAUGAUCGAAAUGCCAAGGAUUUAUCGCUGAAAGAUGGGCUCGCGUCUGAUUAGAUAGUUGGCGGGGUAACGGCCCACCAAGUCGACGAUCAGUAGCCGGACUGAGAGGUUGAACGGCCACAUUGGGACUGAGAUACGGCCCAGACUCC